CAGAAUAAAGUAAAAAUAAAUCAAAAAAUUAAAAUACAACCAAGAAGAGCCUGAUUCAGACUUCAUGUCUAAAAUAUGAGGUAAAUCAACUCCAUGAGAUCAUGAUCCAAAGCCUUUCUCGCAUUUGAGUGUUUCAAAGUUCCCUAAGAGUCUCAAAUGAACUUCGGACAAUGCUCACACCCAAAUGUGUUAUCAGAUUGGGACAAGUGUAAUGUGGAAAGGCCAUCCCUCAAGUUCCCAAGUUCAUAGAGAACUCAAAGGGUCUCAAGGCAAGGCUCACAAGAGGGGGCAGAACUUAAGACUAAGAAAGUGUGCAUGUGCAGAAUAUGAUACUAAUAAGGGAAAAGGAGAGGGAACUAGUUUCAAAUAAGCACAAAUAAGGAGGUUCA
This 389-nucleotide long non-coding RNA is filed under the name Nicotiana benthamiana. RNAcentral describes it as "long non-coding RNA (NBEN_LNC009073)". Lineage: Eukaryota; Viridiplantae; Streptophyta; Magnoliopsida; Solanales; Solanaceae. The record is from RNAcentral.